Molecule: ribosomal RNA, 669 nt
Filed under: Triticum aestivum (bread wheat)
Lineage: Eukaryota; Viridiplantae; Streptophyta; Magnoliopsida; Poales; Poaceae
Description: partial small subunit ribosomal RNA
Source: RNAcentral
AUGUCUGUCGACGUGGGUGACAUGCUGAUGAUGGAUAGGUUCCGUCAGUGGCAGGCCACGCACAACAGGUCGUACCUGAUCAUGGAGGAGAGGCUGCGGCGCUUCCAGAUGUACCGCGACAAUGUGGAGUACAUCGACCCCACCAACCGGCGCGGCGACCUCACCUACGAGCUCGGCGAGAACGAGUUCGCCGACCUCACCCAGGAGGAGUUCCUGGCGAGGUACGCUUCGUCCUACGAUGGCGCCAGUGAUGAUACGGGCAUCACGAUGCCCACAGGCGGUGGCGACGCCGAUUUGUGGUCGUCUCGCGGCGAGGAUAACUCCUUGGAGGCUCCGCCUCCGCCCAGCAUGGACUGGAGGGCCAAAGGCGCCGUCAUGCCCAAGUCCCAAAGCUCAUCAUGCUCCAGUUGCUGGGCGUUCGUGACAGUUGCAACGAUUGAGACCCUGAACUGGAUCAGGACAGGGAAGCUGGUGUCGCUCUCGGAGCAGCAGAUGGUGGACUGCGACCAGUACAACGGCGGGUCCAACCGCGACGGCGGCCUUACCACGGAGGCGGAGUACCCAUACACGGCGGUGAGGGGCGCCUGCAACCGCGCCAAGUCCGCCCAUCACGUCGUCCAGAUCAAUGGCAGCGGCGUGAUCCCGGCCAGGAACGAGCCCGAAAUGUAG